This 334-nucleotide unclassified non-coding RNA is filed under the name soil metagenome. RNAcentral describes it as "partial contains 5.8S ribosomal RNA, internal transcribed spacer 2, and large subunit ribosomal RNA". The stretch from base 1 to 120 matches the Rfam family "5.8S ribosomal RNA", at positions 35 to 154 of the family's 154-position model. The record is from RNAcentral.
GAUGAAGAACGUAGCGAAAUGCGAUAAGUAGUGUGAAUUGCAGAAUUCAGUGAAUCAUCGAAUCUUUGAACGCACAUUGCGCCCCUUGGUAUUCCAUGGGGCAUGCCUGUUCGAGCGUCAUUUGUACCUUCAAGCUCUGCUUGGUGUUGGGUGUUUGUCCUUGCUCUAGUGGCGGGACUCGCCUUAAAGUAAUUGGCAGCCAGUGUUUUGGUUUUGAAGCGCAGCACAAGUCGCGAUUCAAGUCUAUACGCUAGUUUCCACAAGUCUUUUAUCACUUUUGACCUCGGAUCAGGUAGGGAUACCCGCUGAACUUAAGCAUAUCAAUAAGCGGAGG